This 532-nucleotide ribosomal RNA is filed under the name Victodrobia victoriensis. Its description in RNAcentral is "partial 16S ribosomal RNA". It matches the Rfam family "Bacterial large subunit ribosomal RNA", at positions 1816 to 2619 of the family's 2925-position model. Lineage: Eukaryota; Metazoa; Mollusca; Gastropoda; Littorinimorpha; Tateidae. The record is from RNAcentral.
CGCUCUUUGUUAUUUAAAAUUUAAGGAGUCGAGCCUGCCCAGUGAUGAGAUUUAACGGCCGCGGUACUCUGACCGUGCAAAGGUAGCAUAAUCAUUUGCCUUAUAAUUGAAGGCUUGUAUGAAUGGUUUGACAAGAGUAAUGCUGUCUCCUUUUAAUUCUGUAGAAUUUGGUUUUUGGGUGAAGAAACCUAAAUGUUAUUGAAAGACAAGAAGACCCUAUCGAGCUUUAAAGUAGUCUGUUAGUGAGUGGUGCUGUUAAAGGAUAAGUUUUAAUGGAAGAUUUUGGUUGGGGCGACUGAGGAACAAGUAAAGCUUCCUUUAUAGAGUUUAUGCGUAUGCGCUGGUGAUCCAAAAGUUUUGAUUAAAAGAAUUAGUUACCGUAGGGAUAACAGCAUAAUCUUUUUUGAGAGUUCUUAUCGAAAAGAAGGUUUGUGACCUCGAUGUUGGACUAGGGUAUCCGGAGAGAUGCAGAAGUCUUCAAUGGUUGGUCUGUUCGACCAUUAAUAUCCUACGUGAUCUGAGUUCAGACCGG